GGUUGCGUAGCUAGGUGAGGCCAAGGUCACAGAGCCAUCGAUUGAAUAGUUGUUGGGCUAUUAGAAAGUGGGUUUAGGCCUAAAUCAACCGAUUAGAAAGUGGGUUUAGGUCUAAAUCAACCCCACAAAAUCGGUUUGUAUGGCGAGAUUUGCACCUCACUUAUAUAUUAUAAUUUGGCCUUAUCUCUAGUCGAUGUGGGACUUCCAACACCCCCC
Molecule: long non-coding RNA, 216 nt
Filed under: Vigna radiata
Lineage: Eukaryota; Viridiplantae; Streptophyta; Magnoliopsida; Fabales; Fabaceae
Description: long non-coding RNA (VRAD_LNC018435)
Source: RNAcentral